UUUGAAAGCUGGCUCCUUCGGGGCCCGCAUUGUAAUUUGCAGAGGAUGCUUCGGGAGCGGCCCCCAUCUAAGUGCCCUGGAACGGGCCGUCAUAGAGGGUGAGAAUCCCGUCUGGGAUGGGGUGCCCGCGCCCGUGUGAAGCUCCUUCGACGAGUCGAGUUGUUUGGGAAUGCAGCUCUAAAUGGGUGGUAAAUUUCAUCUAAAGCUAAAUACUGGCCGGAGACCGAUAGCGCACAAGUAGAGUGAUCGAAAGAUGAAAAGCACUUUGAAAAGAGAGUUAAACAGCACGUGAAAUUGUUGAAAGGGAAGCGCUUGCGACCAGACUCGCCCGCGGGGUUCAGCCGGCAUUCGUGCCGGUGUACUUCCCCACGGGCGGGCCAGCGUCGGUUUGGGCGGCCGGUCAAAGGCCCUCGGAAUGUAACGCCCCCCGGGGCGUCUUAUAGCCGAGGGUGCCAUGCGGCCAGCCCGGACCGAGGAACGCGCUUCGGCUCGGACGCUGGCAUAAUGGUCGUAAGCGACCCGUCUUGAAACACGGACCAAGGAGUCUAACAUCUACGCGAGUGUUCGGGUGUCAAACCCGUGCGCGCAGUGAAAGCGAACGGAGGUGGGAA
This 611-nucleotide ribosomal RNA is filed under the name Penicillium javanicum. RNAcentral describes it as "eukaryotic LSU rRNA". It matches the Rfam family "Eukaryotic large subunit ribosomal RNA", at positions 114 to 741 of the family's 3401-position model. The record is from RNAcentral. Lineage: Eukaryota; Fungi; Ascomycota; Eurotiomycetes; Eurotiales; Aspergillaceae.